This 390-nucleotide ribosomal RNA is filed under the name uncultured Nitrospina sp. Its description in RNAcentral is "bacterial SSU rRNA". It matches the Rfam family "Bacterial small subunit ribosomal RNA", at positions 29 to 410 of the family's 1533-position model. The record is from RNAcentral. Lineage: Bacteria; Pseudomonadati; Nitrospinota; Nitrospinia; Nitrospinales; Nitrospinaceae.
AACGAACGCUGGUGGCGUGCUUAACACAUGCAAGUCGAACGAGAACGUUUCCUUCGGGAAAUUAGUAAAGUGGCGCAAGGGUGAGUAACACGUGAAUAAUCUGCCCUCGAGAUCGGGAUAACAUGGUGAAAACUAUGCUAAUACCGGAUAAGACCACAUUUCGCAGGAAAUGCGGUAAAAGGAGUCUCAAUCUGCACUCGAGGAUGAGUUCGCGCAACAUUAGCUUGUUGGUGAGAUAAAAGCUCACCAAGGCUACGAUGUUUAGCCGGCCUGAGAGGGUGAACGGCCACACUGGAACUGAGACACGGUCCAGACUCCUACGGGAGGCAGCAGUGGGGGAAUCUUGCACAAUGGAGGAAACUCUGAUGCAGCGAUGCCGCGUGAGUGAAG